This 648-nucleotide long non-coding RNA is filed under the name Monodelphis domestica (gray short-tailed opossum). RNAcentral's name for it is "lncRNA (ENSMODG00000032451.2)". The record is from RNAcentral. Lineage: Eukaryota; Metazoa; Chordata; Mammalia; Didelphimorphia; Didelphidae.
GAAAAUGAGAAGAAGAAGGCCCUGCCCUGUGUGAAGGGUCAGAUGGAGUUGGUGAGAAUCAAGAGAACUCCAGCUUUCUCCAGUUUCCUUUCAGCCUGGCUUCAGGAUUCUUGGAACAGAGUAGAGUCGGGGCCAGCUGUUGACUUGAACUCUGUUACCCUGAUAUUAAGUCCAGUAACCUGUGGAAAUUCCAGAGUAAAUCCAAUGGACAUGGAAAAACAGCUUAAGCCACAGACGUUCUGGUUUUGUAGCAGAAGCACAAACAGUUGCUUAUCUAGCAGACCAUCACUUACCUGAGAAGCAGAGAUGCUUGUUUUGACUUCUGUUAUUUCCUGGGUGAGAUACAGUUUAAGAAAGAAUUGAAGAAAAGAAGAAACUCACAUUCAGGUAUAUUUUUUUGUGUACCUGUUUAACCCUGAGCAAGUCUUCACUUUUCUUGAAUUCAAAGCCAGGUCUUUGAUUCCAACACCACCAGCACAGGUUCCUCUAAACCAUCCUCCAUGAAAACUUCUGUUGCUUUGUUAUUGUCAUCAUUAAUGAUAUGCAAGAAGAAAAAAUAAGACCCCACCUUUGAAACUGCUGAAUAGAGUCAUAGCAUUGAAGCAGAUUUUGCCAGGACCCAGGCUGUUAACUCAUUAUAAAUGAUGC